GUGCCAGCAGCCGCGGUAAUACGUAGGUGGCAAGCGUUGUCCGGAUUUAUUGGGCGUAAAGGACGCGCAGGCGGAUUCUUAAGUCUGAUGUGAAAUCCCAGGGCUUAACCUUGGGGGUUCAUUUCAAACUGGAUGUCUUGAGUGCAGGAGAGGAAAGUAGAAUUCCAAGUGUAGCGGUGAAAUGCGUAGAGAUUAGGAGGAAUACCAGUGGCGAAGGCGUCUUUCUGGCAUGAAACUGACGCUGAGGCGUGAA
This 253-nucleotide ribosomal RNA is filed under the name uncultured bacterium. RNAcentral describes it as "partial 16S rRNA". It matches the Rfam family "Bacterial small subunit ribosomal RNA", at positions 505 to 757 of the family's 1533-position model. The record is from RNAcentral.